CUACGGGUGGCUGCAGUGGGGAAUAUUGCACAAUGGGCGCAAGCCUGAUGCAGCCAUGCCGCGUGUAUGAAGAAGGCCUUCGGGUUGUAAAGUACUUUCAGCGGGGAGGAAGGGAGUAAAGUUAAUACCUUUGCUCAUUGACGUUACCCGCAGAAGAAGCACCGGCUAACUCCGUGCCAGCAGGCCGCGGUAAUACGGAGGGUGCAAGCGUUAAUCGGAAUUACUGGGCGUAAAGCGCACGCAGGCGGUUUGUUAAGUCAGAUGUGAAAUCCCCGGGCUCAACCUGGGAACUGCAUCUGAUACUGGCGAGCUUGAGUCUCGUAGAGGGGGGUAGAAUUCCAGGUGUAGCGGUGAAAUGCGUAGAGAUCUGGAGGAAUACCGGUGGCGAAGGCGGCCCCCUGGACGAAGACUGACGCUCAGGUGCGAAAGCGUGGGGAGCAAACAGGAUUAGAUACCCGAGUAGUC
This 465-nucleotide ribosomal RNA is filed under the name uncultured bacterium. RNAcentral describes it as "partial 16S ribosomal RNA". It matches the Rfam family "Bacterial small subunit ribosomal RNA", at positions 339 to 795 of the family's 1533-position model. The record is from RNAcentral.